RNAcentral lists this ribosomal RNA (230 nucleotides) under uncultured bacterium. RNAcentral's name for it is "partial 16S ribosomal RNA". It matches the Rfam family "Bacterial small subunit ribosomal RNA", at positions 91 to 334 of the family's 1533-position model. The record is from RNAcentral.
CCGAGUGGCGGACGGGUGAGUAACGCGUAGGUAUCUAUCCUUGGGUGGGGGGACAACCGUGGGAAACUACGGCUAAUACCGCAUGAUGUCUGAGGACCAAAGGCGCAAGUCGCCUGGGGAGGGAGCCUGCGUACGAUUAGCUAGUUGGUGGGGUAAAGGCCUACCAAGGCGACGAUCGUUAGCUGGUCUGAGAGGAUGAUCAGCCACACUGGGACUGAGACACGGCCCAG